Equus asinus (donkey) is the source of this 75-nucleotide small nucleolar RNA. Ensembl annotates it as small nucleolar RNA, C/D box 114-14. Lineage: Eukaryota; Metazoa; Chordata; Mammalia; Perissodactyla; Equidae. The record is from Ensembl.
UGGAUCAACGACGAUAGCUGCGGGCAUAUGAGUCAUGGAUGAUGAGUGAUGCGUGUCUGGAACCAUGAGGUCCAA